UAUGGCUCAGAUUGAACGCUGGCGGCAGGCCUAACACAUGCAAGUCGAGCGGAAACGAGUUAACUGAACCUUCGGGGAACGUUAACGGCGUCGAGCGGCGGACGGGUGAGUAAUGCCUGGGAAAUUGCCCUGAUGUGGGGGAUAACCAUUGGAAACGAUGGCUAAUACCGCAUAAUGCCUUCGGGCCAAAGAGGGGGACCUUCGGGCCUCUCGCGUCAGGAUAUGCCCAGGUGGGAUUAGCUAGUUGGUGAGGUAAUGGCUCACCAAGGCGACGAUCCCUAGCUGGUCUGAGAGGAUGAUCAGCCACACUGGAACUGAGACACGGUCCAGACUCCUACGGGAGGCAGCAGUGGGGAAUAUUGCACAAUGGGCGCAAGCCUGAUGCAGCCAUGCCGCGUGUAUGAAGAAGGCCUUCGGGUUGUAAGGUACUUUCAGCAGUGAGGAAGGUGGUAGUGUUAAUAGCACUAUCAUUUGACGUUAGCUGCAGAAGAAGCACCGGCUAACUCCGUGC
Molecule: ribosomal RNA, 511 nt
Filed under: uncultured bacterium
Lineage: Bacteria
Description: bacterial SSU rRNA
Rfam family: Bacterial small subunit ribosomal RNA
Source: RNAcentral